Molecule: unclassified non-coding RNA, 206 nt
Filed under: Hevea brasiliensis (rubber tree)
Lineage: Eukaryota; Viridiplantae; Streptophyta; Magnoliopsida; Malpighiales; Euphorbiaceae
Source: RNAcentral
CUCCCCGGUUACAAGCAUUUAUCCACCCGCACGUAACACGCAUCCAGCAAAAUUUACAAUACCUGACCUCCUAAUCUCACCCCUACACAUAAGUGAGGCGGUUUCCGGUGGUAGCGAGGUCGUCACUGGAAGCUGCCGCGUGCACAGAUCAGACGCAUACAAAUCAUAGGCCUCUUUCAGGGACGGCUACGAUUGACAAACGGAAU